CACGUAGGGCGCAAGCGUUGUCCGGAAUUAUUGGGCGUAAAGAGCUCGUAGGCGGUCUGUUGCGUCCGCUGUGAAAACUCGGGGCUUAACCCCGAGCCUGCAGUGGAUACGGGCAGACUAGAGGUAGGUAGGGGAGAAUGGAAUUCCCGGUGUAGCGGUGAAAUGCGUAGAUAUCGAGAGGAACACCUGCGGCGAAGGCGGGUUGCUGGGCCGACACUGACGCUGAUGCGCGAAAGCCAGGGGAGCGAACGGG
RNAcentral lists this ribosomal RNA (253 nucleotides) under uncultured bacterium. RNAcentral describes it as "partial 16S ribosomal RNA". It matches the Rfam family "Bacterial small subunit ribosomal RNA", at positions 524 to 776 of the family's 1533-position model. The record is from RNAcentral.